RNAcentral lists this long non-coding RNA (483 nucleotides) under Callithrix jacchus (white-tufted-ear marmoset). Its description in RNAcentral is "lncRNA (ENSCJAG00000074030.1)". Lineage: Eukaryota; Metazoa; Chordata; Mammalia; Primates; Cebidae. The record is from RNAcentral.
GUACGGAUGCCUUUGUGGGAGGUGCUGUUACCACGUCUAAAUCUAAGCCUCUGAUUUUGUAUUCCCUGCACUGUAAGGGGCAGCCCAAGGGGGCCAGGGGUCGGUGGGAGGGGCAUCAAGAAGGAGAAAGCUUUAAAAGGAAAGAUUUACGAGGCCAUGAAGACGUUCUUCCCAGACUCCUGAGUGCAAGGUACAACAUUUCACCCAAAAGAACUGGGAUGGCGUCACCUGGAGCUUAAGAAACUGCACGCAAGUAUUGAAUUCCUAGUGAGAGUUUAAUAAACAUUAUGAAUGAAGAAAAAAUCAACAGAGUAUAUAAAGCUUUUGUAGAUGUACAAAAGGAACUUGCACAUUUCUGAAAAGGCCUUUCGCUUGAACCUCUGCAGAAAGAACUGAUUCCUCAGCGGCAUCAUGAAAGCAAACCAGUUAAUGUUGAUGAAGCUACAAAAUUAAUGGCUCAGUUGUAAAACAGUAGUGAUUCCC